CUCUCGAUGACAUUGUUUGAAGUCUCUUGUAGAUAUAUCAGCGAUCGCUUUCCUCGUAUUCGUGUUGAAGAGCCAGCUGCAGUAGAGGCAUCACUUUUAGCGAGGAUAAAUCUGCUAACACAGCCUGAAAAUAGAAAAAUGUAACAAUUGCAUAUAAUUUAUACCAAUAUAUAAUAUAUCACUUCUGUACCUCUACAUUUUGUUGGGUAUUAACUUGUAAUAAAUUUUCUUUUCGAAAA
Molecule: long non-coding RNA, 239 nt
Organism: Pogonomyrmex barbatus (red harvester ant)
Lineage: Eukaryota; Metazoa; Arthropoda; Insecta; Hymenoptera; Formicidae
Source: RefSeq, a predicted model, not a curated record